Long non-coding RNA from Camponotus floridanus (Florida carpenter ant), 651 nucleotides. RefSeq lists it as uncharacterized. Lineage: Eukaryota; Metazoa; Arthropoda; Insecta; Hymenoptera; Formicidae. The record is from RefSeq and is a predicted model, not a curated record. The transcript is spliced from 4 exons.
UUACACUGAGAAGCUGUUCUCGAAGUGCAGAUGGCGCGAUUGCUCCUCAAUAAACGGUACAUUUGAAAAGUGUAUGUUUCGCGCGCGAAUAAUUACCGCGAGUGUCUCGUAAAAUAUCGGUCGUUUGUGUAGUGUAUUAAUUAAAUGUGUAAUUGCUAUCGUAUACGCCGCGUAAAGCAUCGCGAAUAAGCCAUCUGUUUGCGAAGAAUAUUCAACCCUUCUCUUGACAUAUCUCAAGUUAGCUCUUCUCUCAGAUUGAGCGCAAAUUGCAGCGGAUGCAGAAUCAUUAUCAAAUCAAUUCUGAUAGUGUCUGAGAGGAGGAGGAGGCCUAGGAGAGGCAUCGGGCGUCGACAGAGCAACCACACGAUCAACGUAAUCAACUUCGCUGUUAUGCAUCGAUCAGUAAUCCAGUGAUUAUAACGACAAGAACUUCUAAUGUAAAGGUAAGAUUAUUUAAAAAAUGUAAGCAAUAAUUUGUAAGGAGCAAUAAUUUGUAAGGAGCAUAAAAUAUUUGAUAUUAGUCGAUUAUUCGGCGGUGAAUUUCUAUGAUUACGUUUCUUUAUUUUGCAUUAUGUCAGAAAUAAGAUUUUGUAAUGUCGAUUAGACAUUUGAAUUCUGCAUAUAGCUUAAGGUUUAUAAAAACAUUUUUAG